AAGUCGUAACAAGGUUUCCGUAGGUGAACCUGCGGAAGGAUCAUUAACACGUAUCCACGUAUCAAACCCUCGUGCUCUCUGGUCGUGCUCAAUCGUUGGAGGAAAGUGUGGUGAAGGGUUCGGGUGAGUGGUAAGACAAGGACUUUCGGGUUUUUGGUCUGACACUUGGACCUUUCACCUUGAGUGGUUUUCUCUUCGGGGAAAGCUAUUCAGGCUUUACUUGGACGGUGGAGUCAUAUUUUUCAACCAUAUGGUUUCCUCUUUACCAUUGAAACCAUUUUGGUUAACCCAAUUUUAAACCCCUUUAACUAUUUGACUGACUAUUUCAUAUAACAAGCUGGAAACGGCUUGCUUAUUAUAUACGAAAUGCUUGACAACUCUUAGCAACGGAUAUCUUGGUUCUC
This 404-nucleotide unclassified non-coding RNA is filed under the name fungal sp. RNAcentral describes it as "partial internal transcribed spacer region". The stretch from base 1 to 46 matches the Rfam family "Eukaryotic small subunit ribosomal RNA", at positions 1786 to 1831 of the family's 1831-position model. The record is from RNAcentral. Lineage: Eukaryota; Fungi.